Molecule: ribosomal RNA, 469 nt
Filed under: uncultured bacterium
Lineage: Bacteria
Description: bacterial SSU rRNA
Rfam family: Bacterial small subunit ribosomal RNA
Source: RNAcentral
CGCUGGCGGCAUGCUUUACACAUGCAAGUCGAACGGCAGCACGGGCUUCGGUCUGGUGGCGAGUGGCGAACGGGUGAGUAAUAUAUCGGAACGUACCCAAGAGUGGGGGAUAACGUAGCGAAAGUUACGCUAAUACCGCAUACGAUCUAAGGAUGAAAGUGGGGGAUCGCAAGACCUCAUGCUCCUGGAGCGGCCGAUAUCUGAUUAGCUAGUUGGUGAGGUAAAGGCUCACCAAGGCGACGAUCAGUAGCUGGUCUGAGAGGACGACCAGCCACACUGGAACUGAGACACGGUCCAGACUCCUACGGGAGGCAGCAGUGGGGAAUUUUGGACAAUGGGCGCAAGCCUGAUCCAGCAAUGCCGCGUGAGUGAAGAAGGCCUUCGGGUUGUAAAGCUCUUUUGUCAGGGAAGAAACGGUAGGAGCUAAUAUCUCUUGCUAAUGACGGUACCUGAAGAAUAAGCACCGGCU